GAGGGUAUAGUUCAGUGGUAGAGCGCAUGCUUAGCGUGCACGAGGUCCUGGGUUCAAUCCCCAGUACCUCCA
This 72-nucleotide transfer RNA is filed under the name Camelus bactrianus (Bactrian camel). It matches the Rfam family "tRNA". From Rfam's summary of the family: Transfer RNA (tRNA) molecules are approximately 80 nucleotides in length. Their secondary structure includes four short double-helical elements and three loops (D, anti-codon, and T loops). Further hydrogen bonds mediate the characteristic L-shaped molecular structure. tRNAs have two regions of fundamental functional importance: the anti-codon, which is responsible for specific mRNA codon recognition, and the 3' end, to which the tRNAs corresponding amino acid is attached (by aminoacyl-tRNA synthetases). tRNAs cope with the degeneracy of the genetic code in two manners: having more than one tRNA (with a specific anti-codon) for a particular amino acid; and 'wobble' base-pairing, i.e. permitting non-standard base-pairing at the 3rd anti-codon position. RNAcentral also lists the same sequence under 2 other names. The record is from Rfam by way of RNAcentral. Lineage: Eukaryota; Metazoa; Chordata; Mammalia; Artiodactyla; Camelidae.